This 492-nucleotide ribosomal RNA is filed under the name uncultured bacterium. RNAcentral's name for it is "partial 16S ribosomal RNA". It matches the Rfam family "Bacterial small subunit ribosomal RNA", at positions 29 to 507 of the family's 1533-position model. The record is from RNAcentral.
AGUGAACGCUGGCGGUAGGCCUAACACAUGCAAGUCGAACGGCAGCACAGUAAGAGCUUGCUCUUACGGGUGGCGAGUGGCGGACGGGUGAGGAAUACAUCGGAAUCUACUUUUUCGUGGGGGAUAACGUAGGGAAACUUACGCUAAUACCGCAUACGACCUACGGGUGAAAGCAGGGGAUCUUCGGACCUUGCGCGAUUGAAUGAGCCGAUGUCGGAUUAGCUAGUUGGCGGGGUAAAGGCCCACCAAGGCGACGAUCCGUAGCUGGUCUGAGAGGAUGAUCAGCCACACUGGAACUGAGACACCGGCCAGACUCCUACGGGAGGGAGCAGUGGGGAAUAUUGGACAAUGGGCGCAAGCCUGAUCCAGCCAUACCGCGUGGGUGAAGAAGGCCUUCGGGUUGUAAAGCCCUUUUGUUGGGAAAGAAAAGCAGCAGGUUAAUACCCCGCUGUUCUGACGGUACCCAAAGAAUAAGCACCGGCUAACUUCGGG